RNAcentral lists this small nucleolar RNA (130 nucleotides) under Castor canadensis (American beaver). RNAcentral describes it as "Small nucleolar RNA SNORA38 (ENSCCNG00000030915.1)". It matches the Rfam family "Small nucleolar RNA SNORA38", at positions 24 to 131 of the family's 131-position model. Rfam says of the family: ACA38 is a member of the H/ACA class of snoRNA that guide the sites of modification of uridines to pseudouridines. Lineage: Eukaryota; Metazoa; Chordata; Mammalia; Rodentia; Castoridae. The record is from RNAcentral.
ACCACCAAAAAGAAAAAAGUUAAGAAAGAAAAGCCUUGGACACGUAAGAAUUGGAGGCAAAGAAAUGUGGUUGUGGAGAAAUCUGGGGCCAGCUUGCUCCCCGCAGGCUCAAGGUCAACCAUACACAAAG